GUGGUCUCUUCUGUCCUUAAAAACUGUGUGUCUAGGAAUGUGCCUAAAGGGAAAACUGACCUUUCCCACUUCUUCCCUGUCUCUUCUGCAGUGACUGUGUUCCCUGCAUCAUCCCUGUCUGUCUCCCUGCUUGGACACCACACAUUCAUCUUCCCCUCCCCGCCCCGUUCCAGCAGAAAUGUUCCCUUCACAGGUCUCGGGACAUGGAUGCAUUGGGAGCCGGUCACGUCUGUUUCCCCUCGACUGGUGCUUUCUGCUGACAGACUCACCCUGGGAAUACAAGCUUGUCUCCAAGCAUAUGGCAUCACCACCGUCCUGAGAACUCCCUCUCAGCCCCACCCUCAUGCCCAGAUCAUGCGAAGAAAGAGCAUCUAUACGUUCCAACAGGGAUGGGAGCAAGUGAUGACAA
RNAcentral lists this long non-coding RNA (409 nucleotides) under Chrysemys picta bellii (western painted turtle). RNAcentral's name for it is "lncRNA (ENSCPBG00000021606.1)". The record is from RNAcentral. Lineage: Eukaryota; Metazoa; Chordata; Testudines; Emydidae.